RNAcentral lists this long non-coding RNA (794 nucleotides) under Cucumis sativus (cucumber). Its description in RNAcentral is "long non-coding RNA (CSAT_LNC000157)". Lineage: Eukaryota; Viridiplantae; Streptophyta; Magnoliopsida; Cucurbitales; Cucurbitaceae. The record is from RNAcentral.
AAGGGUUUGAUCAAAAGGCUGCUGCAGUUGUUGUGGCAAGAAUAACUUCAUAAAAAAUGGAGAUGGAGGUAUUCUUAAAUGCUUAUAUCCCUAAAAAUGCUUAUAUCACUUAUAUUUAUUCGUUUACGUCACCAAUAAUUCUCUUCAAACAUUUUAAACUGCAUUGUUUUGGCUUCGAAAACUGAAAAAAGAAAUUGGGAGACGACUCCAAGGUUUAGGGAAUUUUAUAUAGGAUUCCUACCUUCAAAAAGUUUACUUUGUCAUGUGUGCUGAAAUUCAUGCGUUCCUCUAUUAUAUUUAUUCUAAGGUGUUCUUUUACAACAUAAGCUCGCUCUAUCUUGAAUUAGUUUAUAGAUUUUGGUUGUUGAUAUUAAAUUCUUCAAACGCUCAUCAAGUACAUGGUUAGGAAAUAAGCUCUUGAUUAGAAACAAGAUUCAUGAUAUAUAUAAUGUUUCUUUUACAUUCAGAUUACUACAUUGUAGUCCUCCAUUUUCUUCUUUGUUGUGGUAAUGUUGGUUCACAAAUGUAUGUGUUAUGGAUGCUUAUAUUCAUGUUGUCUUUGUAGGUUCAACCGGAGUCGACAACUUCAUGAGUUUUCUUUCAAAGAACAUUUUCAGAGACGAACAUUCUCGGUUGGUCGUUUAUGCUUCUGCAGAAAAUCUUGUUAGAUGUAUUAUAAUGCUAUUUAAAAUAUUUUUUGAUUAAGGGUUGGGAUUCCGUACUUGUAAAUUGUUGACACUUGAUUGGAAAUGUACGAAUAUUAUAAAUUGUAUUAUAUCGUAUAUAUAUUAAAG